CAUGCAAGUCGAACGAUGAACCACUUCGGUGGGGAUUAGUGGCGAACGGGUGAGUAACACGUGGGCAAUCUGCCCUUCACUCUGGGACAAGCCCUGGAAACGGGGUCUAAUACCGGAUAAUACUUCCACUCGCAUGGGUGGGGGUUGAAAGCUCCGGCGGUGAAGGAUGAGCCCGCGGCCUAUCAGCUUGUUGGUGAGGUAAUGGCUCACCAAGGCGACGACGGGUAGCCGGCCUGAGAGGGCGACCGGCCACACUGGGACUGAGACACGGCCCAGACUCCUACGGGAGGCAGCAGUGGGGAAUAUUGCACAAUGGGCGAAAGCCUGAUGCAGCGACGCCGCGUGAGGGAUGACGGCCUUCGGGUUGUAAACCUCUUUCAGCAGGGAAGAAGCGAGAGUGACGGUACCUGCAGAAGAAGCGCCGGCUAACUACGUGCCAGCAGCCGCGGUAAUACGUAGGGCGCAAGCGUUGUCCGGAAUUAUUGGGCGUAAAGAGCUCGUAGGCGGUCUGUCGCGUCGGAUGUGAAAGCCCGGGGCUUAACCCCGGGUCUGCAUUCGAUACGGGCAGACUAGAGUGUGGUAGGGGAGAUCGGAAUUCCUGGUGUAGCGGUGAAAUGCGCAGAUAUCAGGAGGAACACCGGUGGCGAAGGCGGAUCUCUGGGCCAUUACUGACGCUGAGGAGCGAAAGCGUGGGGAGCGAACAGGAUUAGAUACCCUGGUAGUCCACGCCGUAAACGGUGGGAACUAGGUGUUGGCGACAUUCCACGUCGUCGGUGCCGCAGCUAACGCAUUAAGUUCCCCGCCUGGGGAGUACGGCCGCAAGGCUAAAACUCAAAG
Molecule: ribosomal RNA, 837 nt
Filed under: Streptomyces caniferus
Lineage: Bacteria; Bacillati; Actinomycetota; Actinomycetes; Kitasatosporales; Streptomycetaceae
Description: bacterial SSU rRNA
Rfam family: Bacterial small subunit ribosomal RNA
Source: RNAcentral